This 697-nucleotide ribosomal RNA is filed under the name Debaryomyces hansenii. Its description in RNAcentral is "partial large subunit ribosomal RNA". The stretch from base 1 to 585 matches the Rfam family "Eukaryotic large subunit ribosomal RNA", at positions 64 to 664 of the family's 3401-position model. Lineage: Eukaryota; Fungi; Ascomycota; Pichiomycetes; Serinales; Debaryomycetaceae. The record is from RNAcentral.
CCCUGGGGGGAAUGGCCCUUAGUACGGCGAGUGAGCGGCAAAAGCUCAAAUUUGAAAUCUGGCACCUUCGGUGUCCGAGUUGUAAUUUGAAGAAGGUAACUUUGGAGUUGGCUCUUGUCUAUGUUCCUUGGAACAGGACGUCACAGAGGGUGAGAAUCCCGUGCGAUGAGAUGCCCAAUUCUAUGUAAAGUGCUUUCGAAGAGUCGAGUUGUUUGGGAAUGCAGCUCUAAGUGGGUGGUAAAUUCCAUCUAAAGCUAAAUAUUGGCGAGAGACCGAUAGCGAACAAGUACAGUGAUGGAAAGAUGAAAAGAACUUUGAAAAGAGAGUGAAAAAGUACGUGAAAUUGUUGAAAGGGAAGGGCUUGAGAUCAGACUUGGUAUUUUGCGAUCCUUUCCUUCUUGGUUGGGUUCCUCGCAGCUUACUGGGCCAGCAUCGGUUUGGAUGGUAGGAUAAUGACUAAGGAAUGUGGCUCUACUUCGGUGGAGUGUUAUAGCCUUGGUUGAUACUGCCUGUCUAGACCGAGGACUGCGUCUUUUGACUAGGAUGUUGGCAUAAUGAUCUUAAGCCACCCGUCUUAAAAAAGGGAACAAAAAAAAAAAACAAAAAAUAAAUAUAAAAAAUAAAAAUAUUAAAAAAGUGGUGUAGCGGAGCACCCCUCUGACCGCGGCACACAUUACGCUGAGAGUUUUUCUGUUUG